RNAcentral lists this ribosomal RNA (274 nucleotides) under uncultured bacterium. RNAcentral's name for it is "partial 16S ribosomal RNA". It matches the Rfam family "Bacterial small subunit ribosomal RNA", at positions 523 to 796 of the family's 1533-position model. The record is from RNAcentral.
CUACGAAGGGGGCUAGCGUUGUUCGGAAUUACUGGGCGUAAAGCGCGCGUAGGCGGAUUGGUCAGUUAGGGGUGAAAUCCCAGGGCUUAACCCUGGAACUGCCUCUAAUACUGCCAGUCUUGAGUUCGGGAGAGGUGAGUGGAAUUCCUAGUGUAGAGGUGAAAUUCGUAGAUAUUAGGAAGAACACCAGUGGCGAAGGCGGCUCACUGGCCCGAUACUGACGCUGAGGCGCGAAAGCGUGGGGAGCAAACAGGAUUAGAAACCCCUGUAGUCC